CGCCAGACUCCUACGGGAGGCAGCAGUGGGGAAUAUUGCACAAUGGGGGAAACCCUGAUGCAGCGACGCCGCGUGAGCGAUGAAGUAUUUCGGUAUGUAAAGCUCUAUCAGCAGGGAAGAAAAUGACGGUACCUGACUAAGAAGCCCCGGCUAACUACGUGCCAGCAGCCGCGGUAAUACGUAGGGGGCAAGCGUUAUCCGGAUUUACUGGGUGUAAAGGGGGCGCAGACGGCGAUGCAAGCCAGGAGUGAAAGCCCGGGGCCCAACCCCGGGACUGCUCUUGGAACUGCGUGGCUGGAGUGCAGGAGGGGCAGGCGGAAUUCCUGGUGUAGCGGUGAAAUGCGUAGAUAUCAGGAGGAACACCGGUGGCGAAGGCGGCCUGCUGGACUGCAACUGACGUUGAGGCCCGAAAGCGUGGGGAGCAAACAGGAUUAGAUACCCUCGUAAC
RNAcentral lists this ribosomal RNA (448 nucleotides) under uncultured bacterium. Its description in RNAcentral is "bacterial SSU rRNA". It matches the Rfam family "Bacterial small subunit ribosomal RNA", at positions 329 to 794 of the family's 1533-position model. The record is from RNAcentral.